Mesocricetus auratus (golden hamster) is the source of this 619-nucleotide long non-coding RNA. RefSeq lists it as uncharacterized. The transcript has 3 exons. The record is from RefSeq and is a predicted model, not a curated record. NCBI's taxonomy places the organism in Eukaryota, Metazoa, Chordata, Mammalia, Rodentia, Cricetidae.
CUUGCCCCUUCCUCUUCCCGUCCUCUUGCAUCCCUCGGUCUCUUCUGGGACUCUGAAACCUAGGCUGGAACUCCUAAUAGCCUGCCUCCACCUCCCAACGGGGAGAGGAUUGGGAUUUGAUUCCCAGCACGAACAACCACGCUGAACUCCAACUCCGGGGGAAUCUGAUACCUUCUGCUGACCUCCACAGACAUCUGCAAGCACAUGAUGCAGCAUUGGUGGUGCUUCCCCUGGAAGUCCUCUGUUGUGGAAAACUGUCCUCCAAGCCAUUACCAUCUUCAUUGGAGCAGCUGUGAUGACCCAAAAGAGACCCUCCAGAUCAGGUCUGUGGAAGUUCCCUCAUAGAAAGAGGACAUGAGGAGUGACACCAGACCCUCACCUGAGACUCCAAGCUGGAUGUUAUUCUGUCCCUGCUGUUCAUGGCACCCACAGGUGUUAGAGUAUACAAAGGGUGGGAGGUUAAUUGAAGGGAGUGGCAUCUAUACAGUUCAGUCUUGCUGGGCUGGGACAUUGGUGUGAUGUGACUAUUUUGGGGUAACCUCUAGGAGGUGGGGCCUGGCUGGUGAUGAUAGGUCACUCAGGGCAGGCCUUUAGAAGUUUAACACAGGGUCAAGACUGG